CGGGGGCCGUGCCCCGGCGGCCCGAGGCCCGGCCGGGAAAGUUUGUGGCGUGCCCGGCGCGGCCCGGGGGGGAGCUGGCGGCGCCAGAACAAAGCGGCACAUGGGGCAGGGGCCGCGGCGGCUCGGGGGCUCCGUUCGCCGCCCACGCCCAGCUCGGGAACGGCAGCGGCGGUAACGCGGGAGGUGGAGGCGGCGGGGAGGGGCCGGGGGGGCUCUCGGGGAGUUCCCGGCGGAGGCGCUUUGUGCUCCGCCGCCCCCCCCGGGGGAGGGGGCGCGGGGCCCCGGGGAGGGGGCAGCGCCGCGGGCUGCGAGCGCGUCCCGGGCCCCUCCGCGUGGGCUUUUGUUCGCAGAGGGGCGGGGGCGGCGGGCCCUCCUCUUCCUCCCCCCCUCCGGGCCGCGCUCCUCGGCGGCGUGGGAGAGCGGGCGGUGGGGGCGCGGGCUCCCGCCUCCCCCGGGCGGGCGCGGGAGAGAGGGGCCGUGGGCUGCGGGAGGGCCCCGCGCUGCCCGAGAGCCGCGGGCUUCGUUACGAAAUCGGCGCGGCGGCAGCUGCGGGGCCUCGGCGGCGCCAUGUUGCUGGGGAGGGGGAGGAGGCGGGGGACAUGGCGGCGGCUGCGUGCUGGGGCCGAUUGUUCCCUGUUAGGCCCGGAGCCGCGUGUGGGCAGCGGCGGCCCGGGGAGCCGCUUCCCCUCCCCCCGCCGCGGCUCUUUCCCAUCCGGGCGGCCCUCGGGAGCGGGCGGGCCCGGCCCCUUCCCCUCCGCUUGGGCCGCGGGGCUCGGCGGGCCCGGUCUGGCGGUGGGGGGCGGGGGGUCGGCACGCCGUAGCCGGGCUGUGACCUCCGCGGCGGUGGUGGCGGCGCCCCCUGGCGGACGCGCGGCGCACGGCUGCCUGUGUUCUCGCAGGAACACGUGCUGCGCCGUGAGGGGCGCGGGCCCGGCCGGGAAGGGGCCUGCGGCACAUGGCCCGCGGCCGCGGCCUCCCCGCGCCUCCCGUGGGCCGCGCUGGGCGGGAGGGAGAGCGCCGGGAAGCGACCCAAAGCGAGUAACUCGGUGGUAUUUUCGCAGUAUCGACGUGUGCGGCAGAAAAUACAGGAGCUUGUUGUGGAUGUUGCAGUGGAGUGUUCGUGGGGAAAGUUGCUUUUCACAGGAAAUGCAGGAACAAAGUAAACAACAUAUCUUGAAUUACUAA
Molecule: long non-coding RNA, 1185 nt
Filed under: Numida meleagris (helmeted guineafowl)
Lineage: Eukaryota; Metazoa; Chordata; Aves; Galliformes; Numididae
Description: lncRNA (ENSNMEG00000020428.1)
Source: RNAcentral